RNAcentral lists this long non-coding RNA (8655 nucleotides) under Capsicum annuum. Its description in RNAcentral is "long non-coding RNA (CANN_LNC004211)". Lineage: Eukaryota; Viridiplantae; Streptophyta; Magnoliopsida; Solanales; Solanaceae. The record is from RNAcentral.
AGCACUUUGGGAAUGUACUGAGUAUAUGGGGUGUAUGCAAUUAAGUAAACAACAUCGUAAGUUUAUAUAAAAUCAUGCAUGCGGAUCAUAAUGACUCACAAAGCUGGAAUAAAGCUGAAAUAUAAGAAUUUUAAAUCAUGAAUAAUGAACAUAUAUCAUAAAUCUCGUGAGUCAUCAUACUUAGCUCAAAAUAUAAACUUCUUCUUUUCUUCUCAAAACUCAAAGGUUAAGGAAAUCCGUAAACAAUACUUUCAAAUCUCAUACUUUCAACUUAAUUCAGAGUAAGGGACAACUUCGGGAGUUUCUUUUAACCGACAUAAAAAAUAUGAGCUUAUCAUGGAGUCCAACGUUUUGUCCUCCUAAGGAAGAAACCCCACAUUGGGAAGGAGCGUCAUACUCUUGCCAGGGAGUAUAACCUCAACUCAGUGAUCACCAACUCGGCCUUAGGCCCACAAAUCUCAAUCCUACGGUGGCACGUAGUUUUAGGAAAGUAGGGUACGCUCACCCACACCUCCCGCUCGAUGCUAAAUACUACUCCCGUACUCAAGUUUAGACUCAUUUAGGAAAUCCACCUCAAAAUAAUCUCAAGCGUCUAUAAUGAAGACCAAAUCAUAUUUCUCAUAAUUGAAUCAAAAUAAAUUGUGGAUUCCUAUUUUCAACUCAAAAUCACAAUAUCAUUCUUGACUCAAAUCUUCUCAAAAUCAUAUCUUUAUCAAAAUCAAACCCAUUCUUGACAUAAAUACAAUAGUUCAAUUUUUUUUUCCAAGAACAUAGACUUAAAAAUCUCAACACCAAAUCUUUAGACUCAAAUUCAAGAUUCAAAACUCAUAACAAUUCGCAAUAUCAACUCAACCCACUAUUAUUCUUGAAAUCAUUCAACAAUACAAAUUCAUAAGUAAAGGAUAUAACUCAUGAUAUAAACUUUUAAUUCAAGACAUAAUAAAUACAAGGUCAUGAAAAUCACAACUUAAAUAACUCAUAAUCCCAUAAUCUCAUAAAUAGUAUCUUGGUAUAAAUAUAUUCAACUUUAAUUUCAUAAAUACCAUAUAAAAUCAAAAACAUAUCUUGUAAUAAAAAUUAAGUUUUGGGCACAAGAACGGAAGGAUUAUUCUUGUUCAACACCCACAUACCUCAAAUUUAUGAGUAUUAAUGAACUUUUGAAUAGGAAACUCUAUUUGCAAAAUUGAUAGGCGCUCCUUGUAGCUCUUGUAAUGGGGAUCCCAACUCUUAAAUUAUUUUUGAAUUUCUACGGUUGAAUUUUGAGGGAUCUUGAUUUUUGUUUUGGGGCUAAGGGAAGUUGUUCUUGUGAAUUUGGAGAAUAAGGAUCAGAUUUUGGUCUAAAUGACCAUUAAUUCCGUGUUUAUGGAUAUAUAUAUAUAUAGGGGUAGGAAAGACUAAAAUACCCCUAAGGAAACAAACAAAGUCACAGCUGUCCCUCAGUUGACAGGUUUGAUAUGCUGGCGUAAAUUGGCCAUAUCUUUUUACUCAGAUGUUCAAAUUGGAUGAAACCAAUUGAAUUGGAAAGAAGACUCAAAGAGAUUUCAUUUGAUAUCUAGCAGCUCUCCCAGUUUAUUAUAUACAAAAAGUUAUGAUUAUUACAAGUUGACACUGAAAUGCUGAAAACUGGGCACCUGACCAGCACCUUUUGCCACUGGUUUGACAUACCAAACGUGCCCUUACGCUACUCCAAAAAUUCUGAAUCUCACCCAAGAUAUACUAUGACCUUUCCCCGAAGUUAAGGACUCAAAAAUAAACUAAGUUUUGGAAAUGCUUAGUAGAAUUUCAAGGCAUAAGAUUUCCUUCAACUCACUCAGAAGGCUUAAACGUCGUGAAAAUUUUACGGAGUAUUACAAUAUCUCCCCCUUGGGAACAUUCGUCCUCAAAUGUCUCUCAGCAGGCUAAGAAUAUAGAGAAACCGAGAAUACGCAACUCAGAGAACUUACUUAAUUGGCUCAACUUCACUCUAAACUCAUGAAUACUUCAAAGAAUACAUGAACUCUUGAUGAGAAUGAAUAAACAGCUGAAUCAUGAAUAUGAAAGGACUGAAUUAUGAAAGAGUAGUACCUUCAGCUUGCUUGGAGAAGAGGUGCGGGUAUUUGGUUCACAUGUCUGCUUUUGCUUCCCAAGUAUCUCCCUCAACUGACUGACUACGCCAUAAAACUUUGACCAAGGGAACUUCUUUGUUCCUUAGUUGACGGAUCUGAUAGUCUAGAAUCUCAAAUGGAACCUCAUCAUACGAAAUAUUGUCAUGGACAUUAGGAUUCUCCUAAGGAUCUACAACAACAGCAUCACUAAUACACUUCCUAAGCAUAGAUACAUGGAAGAACGGAUGGAUAGCUAAAAAUUCUGCAGGUAGCUCAAUCUCAUAGGCUACUUUCCCAACACGACUCAAAACUCUAUAAGGACUAAUAUACCGGGGACUAAGCUUCCCCUUCUUCCCAAACCUCUUCACUCCCUUCAUUGGUGAAAUCUUCAGAUACACUAAGUCACUAAUCUCGAACUCAAGGUCUCUUCUUCUCACAUCUGCAUAAGACUUCUGGCGACUCUGAGCCUCCUUUAAUUUUUCUCUAACCAAUCUUACCUUCUCCAUGGCUUUGAAUACUACAUCAUGUCCAGUCACAACAGCUUCACCCACCUCGAACCAACCUAUGGGUGAUCUACAUCUUUUACCAUAUAAAGCCUCAAAUAGUGCCAUCUGAUUGCUAGCAUGGAAACUAUUGUUAUAAGCAAACUCAAUCAAAGGCAAAUGUUCAUCCCAACUACCUUUGAAAUCAAGUGCACAAGCACUCAACGUGUCCUCCAAAGUUUGAAUAGUCCUCUCAGCCUAGCCGUCAUUUUGUGGAUGAAAUGCAGAACUCAAAUGAACUUGGGUACCAAGACCCUUCUGAAAAGAUCUCUAAAACUGUGAAGUGAACUCAGUACCCUUAUCUGAAAUGAUGGACAAGGGAACUCCAUGCAAUCUGACUAACUCACGAAUAUACAAUCUAGCAUAAUCCUUAGCUGUAUAAGAUGUAUGCACAGGUAUAAAAUGCGCUGACUUAGUCAAUCGAUCUACAACAACCCAAAUAGAAUCAUGAUGAUGACGCGAAGGAGGUAAACCAGUCACAAAAUCCAUAUUCACCCCUUCCCAUUUCCAAGUAGGAAUGCUAAACUCUUUUAUUUUACCACUAGGUCUUUGGUGCUCUACCUUAACCUUUUGGCAAGUCGCACACUUUGCUACAAAUGCUGCUAUAUCCUUCUUUAUACCCCUUCACCAAUAGAUUUCCCGCAAGUCGCGGUACAUCUUGGUAGCACCUGGAUGAAUAGAAUAUCGCGUGUCAUGCGCUUCAGCCAUAACUCUCUGCCUCAAAUCAUCAACAUCAGGUACACAUAACCUACCCUGCAAUCUCAACACCCCAUCUCCCCCUUGGUAGAAAACCUCAAUCUUUUGGUCCUUGACUGACUCCUUCAAUCUGACCAAACUAGUAUCUAAGUCUUGCUUUUUCUUCACCUCCGAGACUAAAGAGGACUCGGAACUACUCUGUAGUAACAUACUCCCUUCAGCGGAAUCAAGCAACCUAACACCCAAUCUAGCCAAACGAUGCACAUCAUGAGCUAAUUCUUUCUUAUCAUUCUCCACAUGAGAUACACUACCUAUAGACAACCUGCUAAGAGCAUCUGCUACAACAUUUACCUUACCCGGGUGAUACAACACACUCAUAUCAUAGUCUUUUAACAAUUCUAACCAUCUUCUCUACCUAAGGUUCAACUCCAUCUGAGUAAACACAUAUUGCAAGAUUUUGUGAUCAGUAAACAUAUCAACAUGAGCACCAUACAAAUAAUGUCUCCAGAUUUUCAAAGUAAAAACAACAACAGCUAAUUCAAGAUCAUGGGUAGGUAACUCUUUUCAUGAGGUUUCAACUGUCUAGAGGCAUAGGCUAUAACUUUACCUCGCUGCGUCAACACAAAAGCCAAACCAACUCUAGAGGCAUGACAAUACACAACAAAACCAUCAGUACCAUCAGGCAAAGCUAACACGAGAGCUGAAGUGAGUCGAGUCUUUAACUCCUGAAAAUUCUUCUCACAAGUAUCUGUCCACUGGAACUUAACUUUCUUUUGGGUCAACCGGGUCAUAGGAGAUGCAAUAGAAGAGAAAACUUCGACAAAACGACGGUAAUAACCAGCUAGACCCAAAAACUCCUAAUGUCAGAUGGGGAGGUAGUUCUAGGCCAAUUCUUUAAAGCUUCUGUCUUUUGGGGGUCAACUCGAAUGCCUUCGUCAGAAACAAUAUGACCCAAAAAAGCAAUCGACCUUAACCAAAACUCAUAUUUGCUAAAUUUAGCGAAUAACUGAUGAUCUUUAAGGGUUUGUAGGACAAUUCUAAGAUGAUUGGCAUGAUCAUUCUCACUUCGGGAAUACACAAGAAUAUCGUCUAUGAAUAUAAUGACAAAUAUAUCAAGGUACUAUUUGAACACUCGAUUCAUGAGGUCCAUAAAGGCUGUGGGAGCAUUGGUUAACCCAAAGGACAUGACAAGAAACUCAAAGUAACCAUAACAGGUUCGGAAGGCUAUCUUUGGAAUAUCACAUUCUCUCACUUUAAGUUGAUGAUAGCCGGAUCUGAGGUCUAUCUUUGAGAAAUAACUCGCACCCUAUGACUGGUCAAACAAAUCAUCAAUUCUAGGAAGAGGAUAUUUGUUCGUGAUGGUGACCUUAUUAAGCUGACGAAAGUCGAUAUAUAUACGCAAAGAACCAUCUUUCUUUCGCACGAAUAGAACAGGUGCACCCCAAGGAGAAAUACUGGGCCUUAUAAAACCUUUAUCUAAAAGAUCUUUAAGUUGUUCUUUCAACUCCUUAAGUUCUGCAGGAGCCAUACGAUAUGGAGGAAUAGAAAUAGGUUUUAUAUCGGUAAAAAGGUCAAUCCCUAACUCUAUCUCUCUAUCGGGAGGCAACCCUAGAAGAUCUUUCGAAAAGACAUCAGGAAACUCAUUAACUAUGCUAACUGACUGAAGUGUCUGAGCUUCGAACUCAGUGUCUUUAACUCUAACCAGGUGAUAGAUACAACCUUUGGAUAUCAAUUUUCUGGCUUUGAGAUAGGAGAUAAAAUGACUCUUAGGAGACAUAGAAUUUCUGGACCACUCGAAAACUGGCUCAUCUGGAAAUUGAAACUUGACUACGCAGGUACGAUAGUCAAUAGAUGUGUAACAAGAAUGAAGCCAAUCCAUACCCAGAAUAACAUCAAAAUCCACCAUGUCCAACUCUAUCAAAUCAGCAAGUAUGACUGUGUGAAGAACAGUAACAGGACACUUUUUAUACACUUGUCUAGCAACAACAGACUCCCCUACUGAAGUGGAAACAAGGAAAGGCUUAGAAAUCUUUUCAGGACUCACUUCAAAUUUGACAACAACCAAUGGUGUCACAUAGGAAAAACUUGACCCAGGGUCCAGCAAUACAUAAACAUCAAAGUGGAAAACACAAAGCAUACCAGUAACAACAUCUAGAGAAUCCUCCUGCUCCUGGCGGGAUGGUAGAGCAUAAAAUCUGUUCUGGCGCUAACCGCCACCAGUGCUAGAAGAAGCGCCCUGAGGAGGAGCUGGACGAGCUACUGGAGCUGGUGCACUAGUAUCCUAAGUCUGAGGUCGAGCAUCACGAUUCCCCUGCCUAGCAUACGAGCAAUCUCAAAGUCUGUGGCCUAUCUUGCCACAACCAAAACAACCCCUCUGAUCAGCAAAGCACUCACAAGGAUGAUCUCUACCACACUUAGCACAUGGAGGACUACGAGGUCUAUGACUGACACUGUUAUAGGAUCUAGACAUAGCAGGCCUGUUCUCCUGAACCUGCCUGUCUCUUGGUGUGGGGGUACUGGCUGAAGAAAAAGUAGGUAAAGGUGGACGACUCAAAAACUGCGGAUGAUUCCCUCCGUGGGACCUAGCCUGGCUGUAUUCAUUCUGCUCAGAUCUAGCUCUUUUGUUACCCCUCACUCGAUCUUUUUCCCUUAGUUUAUCCGUCUCUAUCUGUUGUGCAUAAAUCAUCAACCUGGACAGAUCCAAUUCCCUGUUCAACAUAGCAAUCAUGCAUUCUUUCACAAUAAGGCCAGAAACACCUGUCAAGAAUUUAUUCAUAAUAGUGCAAGUGUCGGACAUCAAAUUAGGAACAUAUUUGGCUAGCUGAUUGAACUUCAGGCCGUACUCCUUAACCGUCAUAGAGCCCUGCCUUAGGUUCAUGAACUCCUUAAUUUUUGCUUCCCUCAGCUCCAACGGAAAGAACUUAUCCAAGAAUGCAUCUUGGAAUAUAUGCCAAGUAACGAGAAUGUCAUCUCCCCCUCUACCCUUCCUCCAACCAACUACCCAGUCAUACGCAAUGUCUUUCAACCUGUAAGAAGCCAGCUCAACGCCUUCUUCCUCAGAAAUAUGCAUUACCCGUAUGAUCUUUCUUACCUCCUCCAAAAAUAACUGUGGGUCCUCACCUUCUUUAGACCCAUAGAACUCAGGCGGAUUCAUCCUCAUAAAGUCACGAAGUCUAGCUGCAGCCGAAUCACUUCCUUGUGGGGGCGGAACUGCAGCCUAAUGACUAACCUGAGCAUUAACAGUGACUGCAUGGGCUAAUGCCUGAAAAGCUUCCCGGAACUCAGCAUGCGACACAUUUUCGUUCGGAGGGUUUUCAGGUUGAGGUGGCUGGUCAUUGAUUCUACGGAUACUGGCUCGGCGACGAGGCAUAUUCUGUCAUAAGAGAGCAUAAGUUAUUAGCAGAGAGAGACAACAGUAAGCACGACAUGUUAUGAAACAAAGAUAUGACUUUUUCCUAAAACGUCUCGUAGCCUCUUGCUCAUAGAUGUGGCGCGCUACACACCGAUGAUCAAGACUCUAUGCAACGCGGCUUAUCAGACUCUCUAGGACUCUCUUUAUAUCUUAGGCUCUGAUAACAAGUUUGUAACUCCCCAAAAUCUCACCCCGAGACGUCACACGGUGCUUAGGGAUAUACGUAGAUCCCAAGCUAACCCUUUGAUCCUACAACCAUACUUUAUACUUAAUUUAAGAAUUAAAAUCAAAUAAUCUAAGUUUCACUCUCAUCAAUCCAUGUUGUAAAUAUAAUGUCCAAGUCUCAAGAUACAGAGUAAUCUAGAAAUACAAAUCACAGUCUAGUCUGAAAAACCUCUACAACUCAAGAAUAGGAAGCCACUGGGACAGACCCCAACAGACUCAUACUCAAAUAGAAUAAGAUAAAUACAACAACUGAUGUUACAAAACAUCUGGAAAUAUGGUCCUUGAACCGUGAGGACUCACCACUGCAGGAGUGUAGAUAAAAGCGCUCAGAAAUCAUUGACGCUGCUGGGACUGAGUACCUGAACCUACAUCAUAAGAAAAUGUAGCCCACAUACGGAUAUGUGGGUCAGCAUUUUGGGAAUGUACUGAGUAUAUAGGGGUGUAUGCAAUUAAGUAAACAACAUCGUAAAUUUAUAUAAAAUCAUGCACGCGGAUCAUAAUGACUCACAAAGCUGGAAUAAAGCUGAAAUAUAAGAAUUUUAAAUCAUGAAUAAUGAACAUAUAUCAUAAAUCUUUAGCUCAAAAUCUGAACUUCUUCUUCUAUUCUCAAAACUCAAAGGCUAAGGAAAUCCGUAAACAAUAUUUUCAAAUCUCAUACUUUCAACUUAAUUCAGAGUAAGGGACAACUUCGAAAGUUUCUUUUAACCGACAUAAACCAUGUGAGCUUACCAUGGAAUCCAACGUUUUGUCCUCCUAAGAAGAAACCCCACGUUUGGAAGGAGCGUCAUACUCUUGCCAGGGAGUAUAACCUCAACUCAGUGAUCACCAACUCGGCCUUAGGCCCACAAAUCUCAACCCUACAGUGGCACAUAGUUUUGGAGAAGUAGGGUACGCUCACCCACACCUUCCGCUCGGUGCUAAAUACUACUCCCGUACUCAAGCUCAGUCCCAUUUAGGAAAUCCACCUCAAAAUAAUCUCAAGGGUCUAUAAUGAAGACCAAAUCAUAUUUCUCAUAAUUGAAUCAAAAUAAAUUGUGGAUUCCUAUUUUCAACUCAAAAUCACAAUAUCAUUCUUGACUCAAAUCUUCUCAAAAUCAUAUCUUUAUCAAAAUCGAACCCAUUCUUGACAUAAAUACAAUAGUUCAUUUUUUUUCCAAGAACAUAGACUUAAAAAUCUCAAUACCAAAUCUUUAGACUCAAAUUCAAGAUUCAAAACUCAUAACAAUUCUCAAUAUCAACUCAACCCACUAUUAUUCUUGAAAUCAUUCAACAAUACAAAUUCAUAAGUAAAGGAUAUAACUCAUGAAAUAAACUUUAAUUCAAGACAUAAUAAAUACAAGGUCAUGAAAAUCACAACUUAAAUAACUCAUAAUCCCAUAAUCUCAUAAAUAGUAUCUUGGUAUAAAUAUAUUCAACUUUAAUUUCAUAAAUACCAUAUAAAAUCAAAAACAUAUCUUGUAAUAAAAAUUAAGUUUUGGGCACAAGAACGGAAGGAUUAUUCUUGUUCAACACCCACAUACCUCAAAUUUAUGAGUAUUAAUGAACUUUUGAAUAGGAAACUCUAUUUGCAAAAUUGAUAGGCGCUCCUUGUAGCUCUUGUAAUGGGGAUCCCAACUCUUAAAUUAUUUUUGAAUUUCUACGGUUGAAUUUUGAGGGAUCUUGAUUUUUGUUUUGGGGCUAAGGGAAGUUGUUCUUG